GACAUAUAAAAAAAAAAAAACAAGAAGAAGAGACUAAUCUUUCCAAGAAAAAAAAAAAACAAAUUAAAAAAACUGUACCCAUUUAUCGAUUGGAAUAUGUCAAUCCUCAUUACUUUAUGUAUUUGCAAUUGCACACACGUCUCGAGAUCGUCAAAAAUUAAGAGAAAAAAAAAAUGUAUAUGUAUAUCGACUAAAACUGAAGAAAGCAGUCAGGGUUCAAUUCUAUAAUCUCUCUCCCCCCCGCACUUUCUAGGAGUCGACACAUUGGAGAAGUUAUAUAUAUAUACAUAAAAAACAAAAAAAGGAAGACCACAUACCGCUUCGUAGUUGGUUUUUACUUCUCUAUAGCUCACAGUUGUCCGGUACAUAUGUAUAUAUAUAUAUUAUCUGUAUUUGUGUAUGUGUGUAGUAUGUGCGUAUUUGUUAAUCUACUUAUCUUCCCACCGCAGCAAGUUUUCCCAGCACUUUGCCGAAGAAGAAGAAAGAAAAAUAAUAAAAAAAAGGUAUACAUAUCAGGAUGGUUAUAUGAGAUCUUUACAAUGUAUCAUAGAAGCAUUUACUUUAAAAAAAAAAAAAAGAAAAAGUAUUCAUUCCGCGGGCUACGAUUGCCUAAAUGUUAUAUAAACUCUUCUAAGUGUGAAGAGUGUGUUAGUUUGUAAGAUGAAGAAGAUAUGAACUGUUUAAAGAGAGGAAAAAAAAAAAAAGAAAAAAACCCUUUUAAUACUCUAUAUAGACUUUUAGAAUGGAAGGAAUGAAAGUUGUUGAUCAAUUUGAAUUCGUUAAAAAGUUCCCAAGUUUCUAAAAUAAUGACGUUUUCUCUUGCAUUUAUUAUUAUUAUUAUUAUUGUUGUUUUUGAUUUUCAUCUCUAUACGGUUUUCUAAAAGUCGAC
Molecule: long non-coding RNA, 889 nt
Filed under: Androctonus crassicauda
Lineage: Eukaryota; Metazoa; Arthropoda; Arachnida; Scorpiones; Buthidae
Source: RNAcentral